RNAcentral lists this ribosomal RNA (253 nucleotides) under uncultured bacterium. RNAcentral's name for it is "partial 16S ribosomal RNA". It matches the Rfam family "Bacterial small subunit ribosomal RNA", at positions 524 to 776 of the family's 1533-position model. The record is from RNAcentral.
UACGUAGGGACCAAGCGUUGUUCGGAAUCACUGGGCGUAAAGCGCGUGUAGGCGGCCCAUUAAGUCUGAUGUGAAAGCCCGGGGCUCACCCCCGGAAGUGCAUUGGAAACUGAUGGACUCGAGUCCCGGAGAGGAGAGUGGAAUUCCUGGUGUAGCGGUGAAAUGCGUAGAUAUCAGGAGGAACACCGGUGGCGAAGGCGGCUCUCUGGACGGUGACUGACGCUGAGACGCGAAAGCGUGGGGAGCAAACAGG